GGAGAGAUAGGAAAAUUGGUAACCCCAGCUGACUGUAAAUCAGCCGUCCGUAUCGGGCAUUACUGGUUCGAGUCCAGUCCUCUCCA
Molecule: transfer RNA, 86 nt
Filed under: Pseudomonas phage PA1C
Lineage: Duplodnaviria; Heunggongvirae; Uroviricota; Caudoviricetes
Also listed under: 2 other names
Rfam family: tRNA
About the family: Transfer RNA (tRNA) molecules are approximately 80 nucleotides in length. Their secondary structure includes four short double-helical elements and three loops (D, anti-codon, and T loops).
Source: Rfam by way of RNAcentral